CGCAUUAAGGUAUCCGGCUGGGGAGUACGGUCGCAAGAUUAAAACUCAAAGGAAUUGACGGGGGCCUGCACAAGCGGUGGAGCAUGUGGUUAAUUCGAAGCAACGCGCAGAACCUUACCAACGUUUGACAUCCUCAUCGCGAUUUCCAGAGAUGGAUUUCUUCAGUUCGGCUGGAUGAGUGACAGGUGCUGCAUGGCUGUCGUCAGCUCGUGUCGUGAGAUGUUGGGUUAAGUCCCGCAACGAGCGCAACCUUCGCCUUUAGUUGCCAUCAUUUAGUUGGGUACUCUAAAGGAACCGCCGGUGAUAAGCCGGAGGAAGGUGGGGAUGACGUCAAGUCCUCAUGGCCCUUACGCGUUGGGCUACACACGUGCUACAAUGGCGACUACAGUGGGCAGCGACCAUGCGAGUGGAAGCUAAUCUCCAAAAGUCGUCUCAGUUCGGAUUGUUCUCUGCAACUCGAGAGCAUGAAGGCGGAAUCGCUAGUAAUCGCGGAUCAGCAUGCCGCGGUGAAUACGUUCCCAGGCCUUGUACACACCGCCCGUCACACCAUGGGAGUUGGUUUCACCCGAAGGCAGUGCGCUAACCGCAAGGAGGCAGCUGACCACGGUGGGAUCAGCGACUGGGGUGAAGUCGUAACAAGGUAGCCGUAGGGGAACCUGCGGCAGGAUCACCUCCUGAAGCUGGAUCCCGGGAAUCGAAUUCCCGCGC
This 708-nucleotide ribosomal RNA is filed under the name uncultured Sphingobium sp. Its description in RNAcentral is "bacterial SSU rRNA". It matches the Rfam family "Bacterial small subunit ribosomal RNA", at positions 856 to 1533 of the family's 1533-position model. The record is from RNAcentral. Lineage: Bacteria; Pseudomonadati; Pseudomonadota; Alphaproteobacteria; Sphingomonadales; Sphingobiaceae.